This is a long non-coding RNA of Orcinus orca (killer whale), 1804 nucleotides long. RefSeq lists it as uncharacterized. Lineage: Eukaryota; Metazoa; Chordata; Mammalia; Artiodactyla; Delphinidae. The transcript is spliced from 2 exons. The record is from RefSeq and is a predicted model, not a curated record.
ACUAUGCUACCCAAAGCAAUCUACAGAUUCAAUGCAAUCCCUAUCAAAUUACCACUGGCAUUUUUUACAGAACUAGAACAAAAGUCUUAAAAUUUGUAUGGAGACAGAAAAAACCCCGAAUAGCCAAAGCAGUCUUGAGGGAAAGAAACAGAGUUGGAGGAAUCAGACUCCCUGACUUCAGACUAUACUUCAAAGUACAGUAAUCAAGACAAUAUGGUACUGGCACAAAAACAGAAACAUAGAUCAAUGGAACAAGAUAGAAAGCUCAGAGAUAAACCCAUGCACCUAUGUUCAACUAACCUAUGACAAAGGAGGCAAGGAUAUACAAUGGAGAAAAGACAGUCUCUUCAAUAAGUGGUACUGGGAAAACUGGACAGCUACAUGUAAAAGAAUGAAAUGAAAACACUUCCUAACACCAUAUACAAAAAUAAACUCAAAAUGGAUUCGAGACCUAAGUGUAAGACUGGACACUAUAAAACUCUUAGAGGAAAACAUAGGAAGAACACUCUUUGACAUAAAUCACAGCAAGAUCUUUUUUGAUCCACCUCCUAGAGUAAUGGAAGUAAAAACAAAAAUAAACAAAUGGGACCUAAUGAAACUUCAAAGCUUUUGGACAGCAAAGGAAACCAUAAACAAGAUGAAAAGACAACCCUCAGAAUGGGAGAAAAUAUUUGCAAACAAAUCAACAGACAAAGGAUUAAUCUCCAAAAUAUAUAAACAGCUCAUGCAGCUCAAUUUUAAAAAAACAAACAACCCAAUCCAAAAAUGGGCAGAAGACCUAAAUAGACAUUUCUCCAAAGAAGACAUACAGAUGGCCAAGAAGCACAUGAAAAGUUGCUCAACAUCACUAAUUAUUAGAGAAAUGCAAAUCAAAACUACAGUGAGGUAUCACCUCACACCAGUUAGAAUGGGCAUCAUCAGAAAAUCUACAAACAACAAAUGCUGGAGAAGGUGUGGAGAAAAGGGAACCCUCUUGCACUGUUGGUGGGAAUGUAAAUUGAUACAGCCACUAUGGAGAACAGUAUGGAGGUUCCUUAAAAAACUACAAAUAGAACUACCAUAUGACCCAGCAAUCCCACUACCGGGCAUAUGCCCUGAGAAAACCAUAAUUCAAAAAGAGUCAUGUACCAAAAUGUUCAUUGCAGCUCUAUUUACAAUAGCCCGGAGAUGGAAACAACCUAAGUGUCCAUCAUUGGAUGAAUGGAUAAAGAAGAUAUUGCACAUAUAUACAAUGGAAUAUUACUCAGCCAUAAAAAGAAAUGAAAUCGAGCUAUUUGUAAUGAGGUGGAUAGACCUAGAGUCUGUCAUACAGAGUGAAGUAAGUCAGAAAGAGAAAGACAAAUACCGUAUGCUAACACAUAUAUAUGGAAUUUAAGAAAAAAAAAUUGUCAUGAAGAACCUAGGGGUAAGACAGGAAUAAAGCCACAGACCUACUAGAGAAUGGACUUGAGGAUAUGGGGAGGAGGAAGGGUAAACUGUGACAAAGCGAGAGAGAGGCAUGGACAUAUAUACACUACCAAACGUAAGGUAGAUAGCUAGUGGGAAGAAGCUGCAUAGCACAGGGAGAUCAGCUCGGUGCUUUGUGACCGCCUGGAGGGGUGGGAUAGGGAGGGUGGGAGGGAGGGAGACGCAAGAGGGAAGAGAUAUGGGAACAUAUGUAUAUGUAUAACUGAUUCACUUUGUUAUAAAGCAGAAACUAACACACCAUUGUAAACCAAUUAUACCCCAAUAAAGAUGUUAAAAAAAUAAAAUAAAAUUUUAAAAAAAUCAAUAGGAGAAGGAAGAAAAAGAGAGAAAUAGAAAA